Chaetomium sp. MPI-SDFR-AT-0129 is the source of this 110-nucleotide non-coding RNA. NCBI's taxonomy places the organism in Eukaryota, Fungi, Ascomycota, Sordariomycetes, Sordariales, Chaetomiaceae. The record is from the annotation of a GenBank genome assembly.
AGUUAUAUAAUAUAGUAAUAGUAUAUAUAAACUUUAUAGGUUUUUACACUUAUUACUAGAUAUAGCAACCCAUCUAUAUAAGGUUGUAGGUUCAAUUCCUACUAUAACUA